RNAcentral lists this unclassified non-coding RNA (254 nucleotides) under Hypocreales sp. RNAcentral describes it as "partial contains 5.8S ribosomal RNA, internal transcribed spacer 2, and large subunit ribosomal RNA". Lineage: Eukaryota; Fungi; Ascomycota; Sordariomycetes; Hypocreales. The record is from RNAcentral.
CGCACAUUGCGCCCGCCAGUAUUCUGGCGGGCAUGCCUGUCCGAGCGUCAUUUCAACCCUCAAGCCCCCUCGGGGCGCUUGGUGUUGGGGACCGGCCUCGCGCCGCCCCCGAAAUGCAGUGGCGACCUCGCCGCAGCCUCCCCUGCGUAGUAGCACAACCUCGCACCGGGAGCGCGGAGACGGUCAACGCCGUAAAACGCCCAACUUUCUCAAGAGUUGACCUCGGAUCAGGUAGGAAUACCCGCUGAACUUAA